GAUGAAGAACGUAGUGAAAUGCGAUAAGUAGUGUGAAUUGCAGAAUUCAGUGAAUCAUCGAAUCUUUGAACGCACAUUGCGCCCCUCGGUAUUCCGUGGGGCAUGCCUGUUCGAGCGUCAUUUAACCCCUCAAGCCUAGCUUGGUAUUGGGUGCUUGUCCCGCCUCUCGCGCGGCGACUCACCUCAAAGUCAUUGGCAGCCCGCAUCUCGCCGGCCGUGAGCGCAGCACAGACGCGCUCUUGGCAACGACGGAUCGGCUCUCCAAAAGCUUAUUUCAACCACUGACCUCGGAUCAGGUAGGGAUACCCGCUGAACUUAAGCAUAUCAAUAAGCGGAGG
Molecule: unclassified non-coding RNA, 338 nt
Filed under: soil metagenome
Description: partial contains 5.8S ribosomal RNA, internal transcribed spacer 2, and large subunit ribosomal RNA
Rfam family: 5.8S ribosomal RNA (bases 1-120)
Source: RNAcentral